UACGGAGGAUGCGAGCGUUAUCCGGAUUUAUUGGGUUUAAAGGGAGCGUAGACGGGUUUUUAAGUCAGCUGUGAAAGUUUGGGGCUCAACCUUAAAAUUGCAGUUGAAACUGGAGAUCUUGAGUACGGUUGAGGCAGGCGGAAUUCGUGGUGUAGCGGUGAAAUGCUUAGAUAUCACGAAGAACCCCGAUUGCGAAGGCAGCCUGCUAAGCCGCCACUGACGUUGAGGCUCGAAAGUGCGGGUAUCAAACAGG
This 253-nucleotide ribosomal RNA is filed under the name Phocaeicola coprophilus DSM 18228 = JCM 13818. RNAcentral's name for it is "partial 16S ribosomal RNA". It matches the Rfam family "Bacterial small subunit ribosomal RNA", at positions 524 to 776 of the family's 1533-position model. Lineage: Bacteria; Pseudomonadati; Bacteroidota; Bacteroidia; Bacteroidales; Bacteroidaceae. The record is from RNAcentral.